Molecule: transfer RNA, 70 nt
Filed under: Loxodonta africana (African savanna elephant)
Lineage: Eukaryota; Metazoa; Chordata; Mammalia; Proboscidea; Elephantidae
Rfam family: tRNA
About the family: Transfer RNA (tRNA) molecules are approximately 80 nucleotides in length. Their secondary structure includes four short double-helical elements and three loops (D, anti-codon, and T loops). Further hydrogen bonds mediate the characteristic L-shaped molecular structure. tRNAs have two regions of fundamental functional importance: the anti-codon, which is responsible for specific mRNA codon recognition, and the 3' end, to which the tRNAs corresponding amino acid is attached (by aminoacyl-tRNA synthetases). tRNAs cope with the degeneracy of the genetic code in two manners: having more than one tRNA (with a specific anti-codon) for a particular amino acid; and 'wobble' base-pairing, i.e. permitting non-standard base-pairing at the 3rd anti-codon position.
Source: Rfam by way of RNAcentral
GCAGUGGUGGGUCAGUGGUAGAAUUCUCGUCUUCCACGCGGGAGACCUGGGUUUGAUCCCAGCCCGUGCA